Molecule: ribosomal RNA, 467 nt
Filed under: uncultured bacterium
Lineage: Bacteria
Description: partial 16S ribosomal RNA
Rfam family: Bacterial small subunit ribosomal RNA
Source: RNAcentral
GACGAACGCUGGCGGCGUGCUUAACACAUGCGAGUCGAACGGAAAGGCCCUGCUUUUGUGGGGUGCUCGAGUGGCGAACGGGUGAGUAACACGUGAGUAACCUGCCCUUGACUUUGGGAUAACUUCAGGAAACUGGGGCUAAUACCGGAUAGGAGCUCCUGCUGCAUGGUGGGGGUUGGAAAGUUUCGGCGGUUGGGGAUGGACUCGCGGCUUAUCAGCUUGUUGGUGGGGUAGUGGCUUACCAAGGCUUUGACGGGUAGCCGGCCGGAGGGGGUGACCGGCCAAAUGGGGAUUGGGGAACGCCCCAGGCCCCUCCGGGGGGGAGGGGGGGGGAAUAUUGCCAAAGGGGCGGAAGCCUGAUGCAGAAACGCCGCGGGGGGGAUGACGGCUUUCGGGUUGUAAACCGUUUUCCCCUGUGACGAAGCGUGGGUGCCGGUAAUGGGUAAAGAAGCACCGGCUAAUUACGG